Long non-coding RNA from Varanus komodoensis (Komodo dragon), 2886 nucleotides. RefSeq lists it as uncharacterized. The record is from RefSeq and is a predicted model, not a curated record. Lineage: Eukaryota; Metazoa; Chordata; Lepidosauria; Squamata; Varanidae. The transcript has 3 exons.
GGCAGAGGUUGAGGUGGCUGGAUGGGGUCACUGGGGAGGUGGGUGUGAGAUUGGGUGGACUCCAGGUGAUGGGGGAGGACAGGAGAGACUGGAGGAAUGUUGUCCAUGGAAUUGCAAGGAGCUGAGCAUGAUUUUGUGACUGAACAAGAACAAUAUUGCUAUGAGCUACCCACUUCUUUUUUCUGGUGAGAAAUUCCAAUGGCAAAAGUACCUGAGAUUCACUUGCUCUGGAGGAGAGAGCAUUGGAGACUUAUGGCAUUCUUAUAAUAUCUUUCCAAGUGCACCAGUAGAUCCUAAAUAGAGGCAAGCAGCAUUUGUACUCCACAAGACAGCAGAUACACUAUGUGGGGAUGAAUGAAUCUCAGUUUCAGUUUUUCUUGGUUUCCUUUUUUCCCAAGCUUACAUUCAUUCCAUUCCAUUUCCUCAUCAGGGUGUGAACAUUUUUUUUGCAAGUUCUCGUUUUCAUGCACAUUUCUUCUAAUAUAUACAUUAUAUAUGCACUUUUGUUUAACAUUUUUGCAAGCAAAUUCUAUGCAUUUUCCCUCUAGAGCAUACAUCCCCCUAACAUAUAAAUUUUUGUAUGCAUUCUUUGAUCUGAGAUCUGCAUCAAAAUUCAGAGAAGUGUGAUCUCAGAAGGAUAACUGCAUUUCAGUUUGCAUGUUGGUUCAGGAAAUGUGAAUUAAGGUGGUUCCUAUUCAAGCACCAAUCUAACAAAUUUACAUCCCGUCACUACUACUACCCUACAUCAGGUCUUCAAAAAGAGGUCUAACUCUACCCUUGGUGAAUGGGUUCACCAUCUCAAAACUCUGACAGCCAGCACUCAGGCUCUAGCACGAGGUAUCUCUUAACUAUUAACUCAUUGAUAAAGCGUCAGCCAGCCACCCUGGGAUAUUUAGGGCAAUUAAUGUAUCCCAAAGUGAUUACAACAACAGCCAUGUGGAUGGAAAGGUAUUCUGGUCAACAUAUCCAAAGUCUACUAAAAUCAAAGUGGGGAAAAGCCACCAGGUUGGGUUUCCAGUUUAGGAGUGACACAAACAUAGACAUGUGCACGUAAUUCUGAUGUUACUGGUCUGAUGCAAACUUAACCAAACAAAAGAUGACCAAAUGUUUAAUAAUAAUAUGUGUGCAUGACAUGCUACUUUGAAGGGUUUACUCUAGAACAGGGGUGGGCAACUCAUGGCCUCCAGAUGUUUUGGCCUGCACCUCCCAUGCUCCCUCCCCACUGGCUAAUUCAGCCUUGCCCAACGUUGUGCCUUCCAGACACAUUUGGACUGCAAAGCCCACAAUUCUUAGUCAAUGACCUUGCUGGAUGGGAAUUCUGGGAGUUGCACUCCAAAUGCCACCAGGUUGAGAAAGGCUGGACUCAUGACUGAUAAGGCGACAUUGCAGCAGCUGCAGAAGAACAGAGGAACAGCCAUGCUGGAUCAGACCAAGGGUCCACCUAACCCAGCAUUCUGCUUACUCACUGGCCAGCCAGCUGCCCAUGGGGAACUCUCAAGCAGGAUGCAAGUGCAGCGAAAGUCUCCUGCACAUCUUCCUGCAGAACAGGGGUAGACAGGCAUAGUGCUUGAGGACAGGAGGUACAGGAGAUAGCAUAUAACUUUCAGGACAAAUAGCCAUGGGUAGCCGUAUCCUCUAUGAAUCGGUCCAUUCCUCAUUUAACGCCAUACAAAUCUGUGGUCCUUAGUUCAUCUCAUGGAAGCGAAUUCCAUAGUUUAACUUGGUACUGUGUGAAGAAGGACUUCUUUUUGUCUGUCCUGAUCAACCAUUCAGCCUCAUGGGAUGAUUGCACAGAGUUCCUCUACAGAGAACAGGCAUCAGUCCCCAGCUUUGUAUCUCAUCUUUAUCAAUGCAGCUUGCUUUUGACUCAGGUAACUUGGGUUUUUACUUUGCCUUUUACCUGUUUUUAACCAUUUGUAUUUUCCUGACUUUGGGGAUUUUUAAAAACCGCUUAUCUUUGGUAAGGGUCAUUGCCUACAAUCAGUCAACCCAAAUCUAGGAUCUAAUCCAUCACUGAUUUUCAUUUAGUUAUUCAUCCUGUAACAGAGAGGCACAUAUGUUACGAAUGAGUCAAUGAUAAUGUUAAAGCCAGUCAAAAGCUCAGAUAUGAUACUUACGUUUUUCAGUCUUGCUAUUUGGUAGCUGCACUGCCUUCUGAUCUCCUUAAUCAGUCUAGUGGCUAACAGUGCAAGCUAUGCUUCUACUGCAAAGCUCUCCUCCCCUAAAAAGUCCCCGUAUACAAACCCCUUUCCACUGCCACCUGUAAUUGGGAUUCCUACAGUUCAGGAAAAUGCUUCCUGGUGUGUUUCUGUUCAUUUAACAGUAGCUUGAUCUGCAGAAAGCCACAAGUGACAGCGUUCAUGGCACAGCAGUAACAGUUCUGGACCCAGCUGCUGGUAACAGCUCAGGAGCUGAAAUGGAUUCUCUAUGGGAUUUUAGGAAUGUUGAGACGUGCUAGUUAAAAAGCCCUAAGUACAAGAUGGUCACGGCUGGCUGGAACAAGGCAUGUUCUAAUGGAAACAAAUCACUUGUCAGAAAGCAGCCUUCAAACUUUGAACGCAAGCUCAAAAGACUUGGGGGAAAAAGACAUGCUUGUUGGCUUAGGAUGACUGAAUGCAAAGUUCACCAUUCCAAGAAGAUAGCCCAAAGGCCUUCCUAAGAAAGACAAGGGUGGAAUCUGCAUGAAUGGACAUGGGAAGAUGGCAGUGAAGCCCAAGCACCACUUAAGCUGCUCCCGGUCCCCUUAAAACAGGGUGUUCCACCACCACACCAGAACAAGCAGUGACCGCAAGAGGCACAGUUCCCACUAUGCACAUUGAGAUCAGUGGAAUCACCUUAACGUGGUCAAAUUAAAUCUUCAAAUUAAACAGUGUUUGCAUUCAACAA